Molecule: long non-coding RNA, 2098 nt
Filed under: Sus scrofa (pig)
Lineage: Eukaryota; Metazoa; Chordata; Mammalia; Artiodactyla; Suidae
Description: lncRNA (ENSSSCG00025007815.1)
Source: RNAcentral
GGAGAGGACAUGGAUGGAUGGCUUGACUCCAGGUUCUGCUGUACUUCUUUUGUUUUGUGGUUCACUUCACAGCCCCAUCCAGCCCUGGUCUAACUGGUACCCUGUACUGUUUCUGUCCAUGGGGCAGAAGACUAGCCAGAGCCUCAAUCCAGAGACUUCAUUCAGACUAAAUGUUGGAGUUCUAAUUGACAGGAGUUUUGUCUCAUGGAUGAGAAGACGCCUAGUCCACGUCUACUGCCAGGCUUAAGGGGUUGGACUUCAUCUUUUGAAGAGAAUCAAGGGAGCUGGGUCUUCUUGAGUGUGUGGAUUCCAUCUUUCCCUUUGAAUCACACUUGGUCCUCAGGGAAGGCAGAUGAGCAAAGAAAACCUAAGGAUGUACUUCAGACAUGGCUGUGAUGUUUAUGGGAUGGUAGGUGAAAAUAGAAAAUCUGGAUGUGGUUUAAGUUUGGGGACGAGAAAUUGAGCACUCAUGAAUCCGAGGCCCAGAGCACUGCGCUUCUUUGAAAGCUGAGCUGUGAAGACUUUCUUUGCUAAGAUGUUAGCUUAGAGGUGAGGGAUGGAAAUGUUUCAGGAUGGCGAGUUGAAAGGUUAGGGUUUGGAUUAGGAAAGGCCACACUGCAGUUGGGUAUGUUACUGUCAGAAGGACCUAACUCCCCAUCCUUACGCUUCCAUAAGGAAACAUUAGCUCCACUCUCCCCACGGGGAAACAUCCCUGAGUGAUGCUUCCUCUCCCUGCUGAUUCUCAGGGAAAAUGUUAGGAAGCCCAUUUGGCUGCAGGUCUCAUCUCUCUCCACUGGCUGCCAAGAUAAUGUUUGAUCGCAUCUUCCUGACAUGUAUUUCUAGACUCUGUUGGCUCAGAUCAUGGGAGGGAGAGUGGGAGAUUUAUUGCCCUGCCUCAGACCAACCCAGCUGCCAGGUACAGCCUGGGGUUUUUGUACAUCAUCUCAUUUCAUCUCAAAACACUCUGGGAGACAAGUGUGUUUAAUCUCCAUUUAACUACCUCAUUUAAUCCUUACAACAACUUUAUGGGAUAUUUAAAACUAACCUUAGUGCAGAGAUAAAGAAACUGAGGCUUAGAGCACUUAAUUAAGCCACUCUGCUGGGCAGUGACAAAGCUGAGUGUGAACCUGGUUAUUUAUUUAUUUAUUUAUUUAUUUAUUUAUUUAUUUAUUUAUUUUUGUCUCUUUAGGGCUACACCCAAGGCAUAUGGAGAUUCUCAGGCUAGGGGUUGAAUUGGAGCUAUAGCCGCCAGCCUAUACCACAGCCACGGGUCUGAGCCGCGUCUGUGACCUACACCACAGCUCUUGGCAACACCGGAUCCUUAACCUACUGAGCAAGGCCAGGGAUCAAACCUGCGUCCUCUUCCCCAUGGAUGCUAAUCAGACUCAUUUCCACUGAGCCACGACAGGAACUCCAAUCCAGUUCCCUUGAUAGCAAACAAAGCCCAGGCCCCUCCUCCUGGCCACACAGCUCCUGUCAGCUCGUUGUCUCCCCCAGCUCUCCCUGCAAACACUUUUCAGAGGCAGUUACCAAGUACCACAAGGCUAGCUCGAUGACAACCCUGGUCAUGAUCCCAUUCAUUCAGCAGUGAGCCAAAGGUCCUUUCCCACCUUAGGAAAUUAGCACUUUCCUGGAGCUGCCCUGGAUGCUGACACAGCAGUUAAGGCCACAGUGAUGGACAAAAGCAACUGACUUCACAGAGGUCGAUUUUGCCGACUCUAUUUCAAGUCUUGACUAGCACUAGAGGCUCUUUUUUUGUUUGUUUUUCUUUUUCUUUUUAUGGCUGCACCUGCAACAUAUGUAAAUUCCCAGGCUAGGGGUCGAAUGUGAGCUGGGAGCUGGAGCUGCAGCUGCCAGCCUACGCCACAGCCACGGCAACACGGAUUGGAGCUGCAUGUGUGACCUAUGCCGCAGCAUGGGGCAACACCAGAGCCUUAACCCACUGAUCGAGAUAGGGGAUCAAACCCUCAUCCUCAUGGAGAUUGCGUUGGGCACCUGCUGAGCUACAAUGGGAACUCUGAUACAGGCUCAUUUUUUCACCAACACAAGCCCCUUACCGUGUUACUCCAUUUGCUAAUAAACAAAUUCCUCAGGAACA